This 400-nucleotide ribosomal RNA is filed under the name uncultured Sedimentibacter sp. Its description in RNAcentral is "bacterial SSU rRNA". It matches the Rfam family "Bacterial small subunit ribosomal RNA", at positions 356 to 774 of the family's 1533-position model. The record is from RNAcentral. Lineage: Bacteria; Bacillati; Bacillota; Tissierellia.
GGGGAAUAUUGCACAAUGGAGGGAACUCUGAUGCAGCGACGCCGCGUGAGUGAAGAAGGUUUUCGGAUCGUAAAACUCUGUCCUUGGUGAAGAUAAUGACGGUAGCCAAGGAGGAAGCCCCGGCUAACUACGUGCCAGCAGCAGCGGUAAUACGUAGGGGGCGAGCGUUGUCCGGAUUUACUGGGCGUAAAGGGUGAGUAGGCGGUAAGAUGUGUCAGAUGUAAAAGGCUAUGGCUUAACUAUAGUUAGCAUUUGAAACUGUAUUACUUGAGUGCAGGAGAGGUAUGCCGAAUUCAUGGUGUAGCGGUGAAACGCCUAGAUAGUAGGAGGUACAUCAGUUGCGAAGGCGGAUUACUGGACUGUAACUGACUCUGUGUUACGAACGCGUUGGUAUCAAAGA